UAGACAAAAUUCAGGUAGAGGCCUUGUCCACCUAAUUUUAAUACGUUCAAAUGAAAGAGAGAAACACAGUGGAAGAUUAAGAGUCACGCUUGACACUUCCAAGAAAAGCAGUUCCUUGUUGAUCACGGCUUCCCGGGCAGCAGACACUGCUUCUUACUUCUGUGCUACGGACGCUGUACAACUUCAACAAAUUUUACUUUGGAUCUGGGACCAAACUCAAUGUAAAACCAAUAUCCAGAACCCUGACCCUGCCGUGUACCAGCUGAGAGAC
This 271-nucleotide long non-coding RNA is filed under the name Homo sapiens (human). Its description in RNAcentral is "non-protein coding lnc-ABHD4-12:21". Lineage: Eukaryota; Metazoa; Chordata; Mammalia; Primates; Hominidae. The record is from RNAcentral.